This 326-nucleotide ribosomal RNA is filed under the name uncultured Pseudomonadota bacterium. Its description in RNAcentral is "bacterial SSU rRNA". It matches the Rfam family "Bacterial small subunit ribosomal RNA", at positions 30 to 351 of the family's 1533-position model. The record is from RNAcentral. Lineage: Bacteria; Pseudomonadati; Pseudomonadota.
AUUGAACGCUGGCGGUAUGCUUAACACAUGCAAGUCGAACGGUAACAGGCCUUCGGGCGCUGACGAGUGGCGGACGGGUGAGUAACGCGUAGGAAUCUGCCCUCGAGUAGUGGGGGACAACGUGGGGAAACUCACGCUAAUACCGCAUACGCCCUACGGGGGAAAGCGGGGGUAUCUUCGGACCUCGGCGCUAUGAGAUUGAGCCUGCGUUAGAUUAGCUAGUUGGUAGGGUAAAGGCCUACCAAGGCGACGAUCUAUAGCUGGUCUGAGAGGACGAUCAGCCACACUGGGACUGAGACACGGCCCAGACUCCUACGGGAGGCCAG